RNA transcript from Rhopalosiphum maidis (corn leaf aphid), 1470 nucleotides. It is a transcript of the gene named serine/arginine-rich splicing factor 1A, with no coding region annotated. The transcript has 6 exons. Lineage: Eukaryota; Metazoa; Arthropoda; Insecta; Hemiptera; Aphididae. The record is from RefSeq and is a predicted model, not a curated record.
AUAAGUAAAGUUGUAGAUUGUAAUUUAUGUAAUUGACAAUAGUGUAUCAAAUAGGCCCUAUACUUUUAUAGUUUUCCUAUUGUCGCUAUAUAAUAUUAAAACUAUUUUCGGAAAUUGAUUUAUUUUUUUAGUAUAUACUCAGUUUUGCAAUUUGCUUUUACGGCAUUAUCUCUAUCAAGUGCACCGCGCACGUUUACUUCGCCUAGUCGCAUCACCGACUGCUGCAGUGCUGCUGCUGUCAAGUGUCAAUAUCAAUCGUCUUCUAAAAGGCGUUAAAAUUAUUAUUUUAGUUAUUCAUAAGGUUAUUACAUUCCUCCGCGCAUAACCAAUAUCGGAACGGUUUUUAUCUAAUAAAUCGCACAAGGCACGAGUGAUACAUUUUGAUAACUUGUGUUCCAUCUUGGGAAAAUGUCCAACAACGAUUGUAGGAUUUACGUGGGAAACCUGCCGCCUGACAUACGCACGAAAGACAUACAAGAUUUAUUCUACAAAUUCGGUAAAGUGUUGUUUGUGGAUUUGAAAAAUCAGAGAGGACCACCGUUUGCCUUUGUCGAAUUCGAUGAUCCUAGAGAUGCAGAAGAUGCAGUUCAUGCAAGAGAUGGUUAUGAUUAUGAUGGCUAUAGAUUACGUGUAGAGUUUCCACGUGGUAAUGGUCCACAUAGAAGUGGUGGCAGUAGUAGUGGUGGUGGAGGUUACAAUCGAGGAGGUGCUAGUGGUGGAAGUGGAAGAAGCCGAGGUCCACCGGCUAGGCGUUCUCAAUAUAGAGUACUUGUUACUGGAUUACCAGCAUCAGGAAGUUGGCAAGAUUUAAAAGAUCAUAUGCGUGAAGCUGGAGAUGUGUGUUAUGCAGAUGUAUACAAAGAUGGAUCUGGGGUUGUUGAGUUUUUACGUUAUGAUGAUAUGAAAUAUGCAGUUCGUAAGCUUGAUGAUUCGAGAUUCAGAUCUCAUGAGGGUGAAGUAACAUAUAUUCGAGUAAAAGAUGAUUAUGGCGGUGGAAGCAGUCGUCGAAGUCGUGAUUAUAAUAGUCGUAGUCGUAGUCGCUCCGCAAGCUAUUCACCUAGAGAUCGUGGAACACCAACAUAUUCUCCAGUUAGAAAAAGUCGUAGUUAUUCAAGAUCUCGUUCCCGUUCAUAAUAUUGAGGAUAACCAAAUGACUGCCUGUCUCAAUUCAUUGGCAAACAAUUUUCUGAUGAUAAAAAUGUAUUGCUUACUAUACUGGACAACAUUCUUGUCCUCUUGUUUUUAAUUGGUGGACAAAAAGCAAUCCAUUCACUGUGUCGAUGAAUAUCACUAUACACUGGCCAUCUGAUCAAUACAUCAUAAUUUUAUUGCUCUGUUGUUACUUGCUACCACAGUACCAUCUGGCAAGAACAGAAGAAGCUAUCUUCAGACAAUAUUGAUAUUCUCAAAUUUUAUUUUAUAAAUUUCUUUUUUUUUAUACCUUAUAUAUUUUUGAAUAAAAAUAACUUA